Molecule: ribosomal RNA, 795 nt
Filed under: uncultured archaeon
Lineage: Archaea
Description: bacterial SSU rRNA
Rfam family: Archaeal small subunit ribosomal RNA
Source: RNAcentral
ACGGCUCAGUAACACGUGGAUAACCUGCCCUUGGGUCCGGCAUAACCCCGGGAAACUGGGGAUAAUUCCGGAUAACGCACAUAUGCUGGAAUGCUUUAUGCGUAAAAUGGAUUCGUCUGCCCAAGGAUGGGUCUGCGGCCUAUCAGGUAGUAGUGGGUGUAAUGUACCUACUAGCCGACGACGGGUACGGGUUGUGAGAGCAAGAGCCCGGAGAUGGAUUCUGAGACAUGAAUCCAGGCCCUACGGGGCGCAGCAGGCGCGAAAACUUUACAAUGCGGGAAACCGUGAUAAGGGGACACCGAGUGCCAGCAUCAUAUGCUGGCUGUCCAGGUGUGUAAAAUACACCUGUUAGCAAGGGCCGGGCAAGACCGGUGCCAGCCGCCGCGGUAACACCGGCGGCCCGAGUGGUGAUCGUGAUUAUUGGGUCUAAAGGGUCCGUAGCCGGUUUGGUCAGUCCUCCGGGAAAUCUGACGGCUUAACCGUUAGGCUUUCGGGGGAUACUGCCAGGCUUGGAACCGGGAGAGGUAAGAGGUACUACAGGGGUAGGAGUGAAAUCUUGUAAUCCCUGUGGGACCACCUGUGGCGAAAGGCGUCUUACCAGAACGGUUCGACGGUGAGGGACGAAAGCUGGGGGCACGAACCGGAUUAGAUACCCGGGUAGUCCCAGCCGUAAACGAUGCUCGCUAGGUGUCAGGCAUGGCGCGACCGUGUCUGGUGCCGCAGGAAGCCGUGAAGCGAGCCACCUGGGAAGUACGGCCGCAAGGCUGAAACUUAAAGGGAAUGGCGGGGGAGCAC